AAUCGGUUCCUUUGGCUGUGGUUGGUUCAUCUUGAGAGCUAUUGGAUGUGGUGAUGCAAGUAAAAUCUAAGUUUGUGUGCAAUAAAAAGCAGAGUAUGUAUGUAUUGUUUCCUACUACUGUGAUUGAAGAGAAUGUCCAUUGCUGCACCUAAUGUUACUCUAUAUAAAGUGUGUGUUGGCAUCUUUUGUAAAUUAUGCAUUAUAAUAAGAAAGUGUGAGCUUCAACUUUGUAAAAUACUUGUCAACACUAAGUAUAUCGUGUGGAAUGCCUUUCAUUCACACUUCAUCCGGCUGUGAAAAUUAUAGUCUUAUUAUUAUUUUUGUUUGUUUAUAAAAAUGAUAGUUUUUUCUAUUUCAAAAAUUUAUCUUUUAUAUUUUAAAUUUCAUUUCAUAUUUAAUCUACAACGAUAUAAAUAAAAGGUUAUUUAACUGUAAAAUGUACGCUCAUUGUUACUCAUUAAAUUCCGUCAAAUCUAUUGAUGUUUUGGUUUUAUUUAUAAUGGCACAUUUUUUUUAAACACAGAAAUUAAGAAACGUAUAUUAAAGAGUAUAAAAUAGUACUUCCUUCGUUCCAUCGAAUUUGAGGCGUUUUUUUUUGGUCAUGGAAUUUAAUGAGUUUGUGUUUAGUUACUUAAGUAAUGUUGAUAGAUUUUAGAUUAAGUCAUUAUUUAUAUAAUGAGUCAUCUUAAAUUAUUUUUAAUUACAAAAUUUAAAUUACAUAAUUUGAUUUUUGAUUUUAUUUUUCAAUUAACAUUUAUUUUAAACUUUUAUCAUUAAAUACAAAAUUUUCAGCUCUUUUUUAUGCCUGCAUGCCAGCCUCUUUAAACUUAACCAAAUCCUGAAAAGAACAACUAAAUUCUAAAUUGAAUUGAAUAAAAAGUGGCUGGUGUGAAAUUUCGAUUUCAUAGAAAUUCAGCCAAAUAUGGCGCCAAUAUUGACAUAGGCUUUUUUAGCCAAAAUUUUCAAUUUAAACUUCCCACCUAAAUACCACAAGCUAUUCCUAUAAAUACCAAACACAUUACACAAGAAAUGAACUCCUAAAAAUGUGGAAAAUCACUAAAAAUGCAGCCAACAUCACUCUAAAAUAUUGGAAUUACAGCCACCAUGGGGAAGAAGGAGUUGUCCACCAAGCAAAAGAAAUCAGAUGGUGCAAUUCAUUCUUCAAGCAAGCAUAAAUGGAAAAUCAUCUAGAGGCUCGCUUUUGGAGGCUCAAAUGAAGUUCUCCGUCUCAGGCCAAACGGCGACAAGGUUGUGGGCAGCUGACAAAAAAACAACAAGCAAGAGGAGACAUCAUUCAUCUUGUUAGUGAUAAUAAGACUAAAAAGAAAAGAAAAUUUUAGAGCUUAACAUCACAUUACUCUCUAGACUAGAAUACACAAAAAGAAGCACAAUUAGAACACUUGUUGGUUUAUGACACAAUAAGAGCACAGUUGGUAGAUGGGUAAAUGCAGGGUUGUUCAAAGCUCACACUUUAGCUACUAAGCCAGAUUUGACAGCCUCAAAUAAGCUGUUACAAAUGAGAUUAUCCCUAGAAGCCUUAGAAUUGAAUAGAAUACUUAACAAGAUCAUAUUUAGGAAUAUGCACAACAUAGUGCAUAUAGAUGAAAAGUGGUUUUCUAUCACUAAGGGGUCACACAGAUUCUACUUAGCCCCAGGUGAGGUGGAGNUUGGUAAACCAUAGAACUAGAGUAUUUGAAGGAUAAGAUUAGUCGAAGAAGUUCAAAAUUAAUUAAUCCAUCAAAGUAAAUUGUUAAAUCAACUUGGUAUUAAUUUUAUCUAUUUAUUCUAUCACUCAAAAGUAAACUCCCUCUUAAUGUUUACGGUGAUCUUGUUAGAUAGUUUGCAACAAACACGAUUUUCAUUGCUCGUCGUUAUUUUUGUGCUUGACAUAUAAGAUAUGAUGUGUGUGUUCUAGGUAAAAUCGGUUCCUUUGGCUGUGGUUGGUUCAUCUUGAGAGCUAUUGGAUGUGGUGAUGCAAGUAAAAUCUAAGUUUGUGUGCAAUAAAAAGCAGAGUAUGUAUGUAUUGUUUCCUACUACUGUGAUUGAAGAGAAUGUCCAUUGCUGCACCUAAUGUUACUCUAUAUAAAGUGUGUGUUGGCAUCUUUUGUAAAUUAUGCAUUAUAAUAAGAAAGUGUGAGCUUCAACUUUGUAAAAUACUUGUCAACACUAAGUAUAUCGUGUGGAAUGCCUUUCAUUCACACUUCAUCCGGCUGUGAAAAUUAUAGUCUUAUUAUUAUUUUUGUUUGUUUAUAAAAAUGAUAGUUUUUCUAUUUCAAAAAUUAUCUUUUAUAUUUUAAAUUUCAUUCAUAUUUAAUCUACAACGAUAUAAAUAAAAGGUUAUUUAACUGUAAAAUGUACGCUCAUUGUUACUCAUUAAAUUCCGUCAAAUCUAUUGAUGUUUUGGUUUUAUUUAUAAUGGCACAUUUUUUUUAAACACUAGAAAUUAAGAAACGUAUAUUAAAGAGUAUAAAAUAGUACUUCCUUCGUUCCAUCGAAUUUGAGGCGUUUUUUUUUGGCAUGGAAUUUAAUGAGUUUGUGUUUAGUUACUUAAGUAAUGUUGAUAGAUUUUAGAUUAAGUCAUUAUUUAUAUAAUGAGUCAUCUUAAAUUAUUUUUAAUUACAAAAUUUAAAUUACAUAAUUUGAUUUUUGAUUUUAUUUUUCAAUUAACAUUUAUUUUAAACUUUUAUCAUUAAAUACAAAAUUUUCAGCUCUUUUUUAUGCCUGCAUGCCAGCCUCUUUAAACUUAACCAAAUCCUGAAAAGAACAACUAAAUUCUAAAUUGAAUUGAAUAAAAAGUGGCUGGUGUGAAAUUUCGAUUUCAUAGAAAUUCAGCCAAAUAUGGCGCCAAUAUUGACAUAGGCUUUUUUAGCCAAAAUUUUCAAUUUAAACUUCCCACCUAAAUACCACAAGCUAUUCCUAUAAAUACCAAACACAUUACACAAGAAAUGAACUCCUAAAAAUGUGGAAAAUCACUAAAAAUGCAGCCAACAUCACUCUAAAAUAUUGGAAUUACAGCCACCAUGGGGAAGAAGGAGUUGUCCACCAAGCAAAGAAAUCAGAUGGUGCAAUUCAUUCUUCAAGCAAGCAUAAAUGGAAAAUCAUCUAGAGGCUCGCUUUUGGAGGCUCAAAUGAAGUUCUCCGUCUCAGGCCAAACGGCGACAAGGUUGUGGGCAGCUGCAAAAAAACAACAAGCAAGAGGAGACAUCAUUCAUCUUGUUAGUGAUAAUAAGACUAAAAAGACAAAGAAAAUUUUAGAGCUUAACAUCACAUUACUCUCUAGACUAGAAUACACAAAAAGAAGCACAAUUAGAACACUUGUUGGUUUAUGACACAAUAAGAGCACAGUUGGUAGAUGGGUAAAUGCAGGGUUGUUCAAAGCUCACACUUUAGCUACUAAGCCAGAUUUGACAGCCUCAAAUAAGCUGUUACAAAUGAGAUUAUCCCUAGAAGCCUUAGAAUUGAAUAGAAUACUUAACAAGAUCAUAUUUAGGAAUAUGCACAACAUAGUGCAUAUAGAUGAAAAGUGGUUUUCUAUACAAGGGUAAAACGUUCUUGCUUUCAGUAUACAAAUCCAACACAUAGGACAUGUAAAAGUAAGAAAUUUAUAUCCAAAAUCAUGUUUAUGCAUGCUGUGUAGACCCAUUUUUUCAGAAAAUGGAGAAUGCUUAUUUGAUGGAAAGAUUAGGAUUUUUCCCUUUACAAAGCAAGUACCAACCAAGAGGAACAAUAAGAACAAAAUUGCAGGCACACUAGAGACCAAACCUAUUGAGUCUAUCACGAAGGAGGUCAUUAAGGAUUGUUUAAUCAAUAAGGUAUGCAGUGGUACCAAUUUUUACAUUACUACAAAAUGUACUUGUAAUAAAACAAAGCUUUAAAUGCAUGACAACCAUUACACAUUACUACCAUGGUCACUUAUUGCUUAUUACGUACUGUUACAUCCCUAAAUAAAGCUUAAAUGCAUGGCAGCCAUUACACAUUACUGAAGGGUUGUAUACUGAAAGCAAGACUUUAUGCUUGUAUACAUUGAUUCCUUUGUUCACUGUGAUUCUUUUAUCUGAAAUAUUGUUAUUGCAUAAUUCUAUUAUAGUCCAAUUUAUCUCAUAUUAUAGAUUAUAUGGUGUGUUGUAGAUCACAGAAGAUCAUAUAAUUGGAAAAAGUUGAGAUAUAAAUUGAGUUCACAAUCGAGGCAACUGUGGACGAGUUGCUGGUUUAGAUUGUAGCAUAAAUGGAUAAAUAGUUUAUCUUGACUAUUUAUUUAUGCUAGUACCUUCGUGUAUUGAACAGGAUCACAGUGAGAUGAAUUCUUAUAUUCUGACUUAUUUAGAAUCAAGAUCUCGGUGACUUAAAUAGUCUUAACCUUAAUUGAAUUAAUUGUUGUGAAUAAUUAAUUGACUAUUGCUUUGAUUUAUCAAGGGUGAGAGUUCUAUUGAAGCUUAAUAUACUCGAUACUUUGGGUGAUAGCAAUUAUUAUUUGACAUGACGUUAUAUUGCAAUAAGGAUCCGUGUCCUGCUAAUAACAGGAUGAUAAUAUCCUCUUGAAUAACUCAAUAAGUUUAUCGUAUUAAACCCUGUAGGUGGAAUUAGUUCCGAUACAAUAAUAAGUUUAAGUGGUAGCACUCGAGAUGUCGUUUAUAAUUAAAUGACUAAUUAAUUAAUUAAUUGAUCGUAUUAAUGGAUAUUGGAUAUCUUAAACACGGGGAUUAAUUAUGUCUAAUGCUAGCCCCCGACUCACCUAAAGAAUAAAGAGGUAAUUCAGUAUUAAUUUUCUAGUGGAAUAAAUUAAUACUUGUGUCUCGAUUUUAUUCUGGGUUGAAUAAGAAAAUCGAGUGCUGGGAGGCCAAACUUUAUUCGAGCUAGUAGAUCCCUGAUUGGCCCAAUAAAGGCGUAAUUCCAUGGGGGCGUCCCUUUCUCAUAUUCUCUCUUUGGUUUUAUUUAGUUUAAUUAAGUUUAUGGGCUUAUUAUUUAGGUAUGACUAAUACCUAGUAUAAAUAAUAAUAAAGCUCUAAACCUAAUUACUUGAGCAUUAACGUGUACCCAGAAAAGAGAGAGUUCUGUGAGAGCAGAAGGAAAGAGGGAGACACCAAUCCUAGAAGUAGAAAGGACUUGAAGCUCGUUGCCAUCCAACGUCAAGUCUUGCCAUGGAAAACAAGUCGAAAGAUUCACUCUGGAGUCGCUCAUCACCGGAUUUGCAAGUAUGAUUCGUUCUCUUGUAAUAGGCACGUGAUUUUUGUAUGUAUUCGUUUGGUAUCCGGAAUUGGUCACGGGCACAUAAAUCAUAUAUCAAAAUAUGGUUCCUUUAAUUGGUAUCAGAGCCGUGGUUCCAGAAUUUCGGCUCUACUGGAUAAACGAAUAGUAAAAUCACUAGGUUUAUCAUUUUUUUGCCUGUUUCGUCGUUUUAUAGUGGAUAUUGUUUAUCAUUUUGGUUUUGACGUUUUGGCCGUUUUGCAACACGAGAAAAUUCGUGGUUAGGAUAGUUUUCCGUUGUAUUCGUACUUUUCUUUGUAUUUUGUUUGUAAGGGUCGAGACAACUAGAAUAUCUUGCUGGAGAAGAUGAGUGAGGCGGCAUCGAUGCAGCAGCGAGCGGCGUGUCUCUUCCACCUACUAGGGUUCGGCCACGGUGUGGUUUGUGAUGACCGUAAUCCGAUUCGCUGAGGCUUUAGUCUCGGCGUCUAUGGUGUUCGAUCCAGCCAUGCCAUUGGUCGGAGCAGUGUGUGGACGAGGGACUAUCGUGGCAACAGCAUCUGCCUUGGGUUGAAGCGGGAGUUUGUCGAAGACGACGAGAAUUACCAAAAGACGAAGAAAAUUCUUUUGUAAUAGAUUAUAAUUUCUUUCAUUUCUUUUGUAAUAAAGUAGGCAGGGAUGAACAGGUUCCAGUUUUCACGAUAAGACGAUAUUUNUUUUUUUUGUCGUUGACAGCAUGUCGUGGUAUUAAUCACCGUUAAGGUGUUUUGAGCAUGAUUUUAUUUGCAUUAUAUGUUUUCAAUGCGCAUAGAAUAUCAUGCUAGGUGUUAUCACGUUUUCACUAAGCACCAUUUAGAAUUCCAAGCGAGCAUGUUUUAUUACAUGUGUUCUAGAAAUGCAUGCUUAGGUUUUCCGUGUAGUCAAUGUGAUUUACCUUGCAAACCUUUUGAAGUAAGAGACUAAGCGGAUAAUUCAAUUUUAUUAUUAAAUUAAUAUAGACCUCCACAGUUGGUUUAAGACAAAGUAGAUUGAUAAUUGGUGUAAACGUCCACAUGAACGUGGCUUGCACUCUUUCUCAAUUUACAACUUUUGUCAGUUAAACUUCUAAAUUAAAAAUAUUUAAAUCUUGAGAAUAAGUGGGAGUUUUGCUUGUAAACGUUCACACUAUCGUGACUUGCAUGUAUUAAUUUCUGCGUGUUAUUCUGGAAAGGAUUAAAAUUAAUUAUUUUAACCUUGAGGAUAGUGGGAGCUUCUCGUGUAAACGUCCACACGAACGUGGCUUGCACGGGUUAGUUUUUCAUGGAUUAUUCUAGGAGGGGUUAAAAUAAAAGAUAGUCAUAAAGUUGACUAAACUAUGGUCAUAGCUUAGGCGUUUAUUUCAAGUACAACUCCCCAAUGGAGUCCCUUCUUGAAAUUGCGUGGUCUAGUCAAGGUCCGUUUAUUGGUCCCAUUUUGUCAUAAGGAUAAGUUGCAAUGGAAUGAGACCAAAGACUGGGUGUCUGGUCAAACGAAGAGCACGUAAACGUCCACACGAACGUGGCUUGCUUGUAAUUCGAUUGGGCUAACGGAGGUUUCAAUAAUAUUGUUUUAUCAAAAGGUUACAAUAUUAUUGCUACGAAUCUUUAUGCAAUGACGUGUUUUCUAAUGUGCGUCUGUUUGUUUAUAUUUCAGAUAUGACUGUUACCCCGCUUUUGAAUGUUUUAUCUGCUAAGCCGCUUACUGGUCUGAAUUUUUCGGAAUGGAAGCGCAAUCUGGGAUUUGUCCUAGACGCGGAGGAGUAUAAGUUUGUGCUUACUACUCCCGCUCCCGCGAACCUUCAUACUCGGUCUUCCGAAGAGCAAAGGGAGGCCCAUAAGCAGUGGCAUAGGGCGAAUAAUAUGGCGAAAGCUUAUAUUAUGACCACUAUGUCUUCUGCGUUGCAGCUGCAACAUCAGUCGUUGGAGACUGCAGCUGCAAUUAUGAGGAACCUCGAGGAGCUCUUUUGGGGAAUCGGUGAAGGAUGAUAGCCCCAAUAGGAUCGUUUCUUGGAUAUCUUAAUUCACCAUACAACGAUUAAUUCCUAACAUGCUCCUAUGAAUUUAAGUGCUGCACAUUGGAGUUAGAAAUACCUGAAGAAUUCCUAAGAAUUCGUCAAUUCGUCGCUGAACAGGUCAGCCAAAUUCAAGCCUUCGUUUGAAGCUUGAAACAUCCUCCAAUCGUAUUUUGUCCAGAAAUACGACUUCUUCCUUUUCGAAAGAGCUUUCCGUGACCACCUGUUUCGUCAAAAUCUGAGUUUUGUAGAGCAAGUUAUGGCCGUUCUUCGAAAACUAGCAGAACUUGAUUUCCUGCGAAAAUUUGACUCCAGCUCAGAUCUUCUGAACUUAUCCGCUCAACUCCCACCGUUGGAUGGACACGAGCUGUAGAAUUCCCAAGGAGAAACGGCCUUCUCAGUGGGCCCCUCUACUCCGAAAAACCCUAAUAUUCUGUCAGUUUCUUGAGAGCAGACAGCUGUAUUCAAAGACAAAUACAGUCCUUGGGGCGCCAGAACUGUGAUGGGCGAAUUCUCCAGCUAGGGCAUAGGAGACUUUGGGCUAGUCCAGGGACCAGAUACAAGGAAUAAAGAUGGGCCUCAAAUGAAUUAAUUUCUAUGAUCAGCCCAUAUCAUAAUUAAUUCAUAAGUAUUAAUUCAUUCCACUAGAGAAUCAAUACUGACUUACCCUUUUAUUGCCGGUUGUUUACCUUGUUUCUUAGUGUUAUUGUUGAGUUGUGUGAUACACUUUCGAGCAUGCUUUGUGCUUUUUCGUGCCGUGUUAUUCUUGCCCGAGUGCUGUUUGCUGCUUUUUCUUGUUGGUGCAGGAUUCCAGAGUUUGGGAAGUUUUUCGUGAAGUUGUGAGCGUUUUUGGAUCAAGAGGCAACUAACGGGACAACUGCUGUAGCCAGAGGCGGCCGCCUUCUCUAGGCCACCACCUACUUCUAGGCCACCGCUUUCUCUAGGCCACCGCCUACUUCUAGGCCACCGCCUACUUAUAGGCCUCCGCCUUCUCUAGGCGGCCGCCUACUGCGUGUUCUGGUAGUUACGAAUUUUUUAGUUAAAACCCAUCUCUAGGGUUUCACUUUAUCAUUCUCGUCUCCAGCAGCCUCCAUAGGCGAUUUUCACCUCUUUCUUAAGGUUUUUAGAGUUCCACAACACUUACUUUCAAUCUUGGAUUCAUUGGAUUGCUUUGGAUGUCAAUUAACACUUCAUCGGAUUGGUUUUCCGUGGAUUGCUAUGUUUUGUAAGAACUCCCUUUGAUUCUCUUUGUUUAUGAAUCCCUUGGUUAUUUAAGUCUUUGUUUCUUGUCUUUAAUGAAUAUGAUAAUUGAAGAUUAUUGUUGUUGAUUCUAUAUUCUCUUGGUUUUAUGAAUCUUUUGGUUAAUUGAGUUUUGUGUUUUAUGUAUUUGAUGAAUGUGAAGAUUGAAGUUCAUUGUUGUUGAUUCUAGAUUCUCUUGGUUUUCUAAAUCCUUUGGUUUAUUUGAAUCUUUAUUUUGUGUUUUGAUUAAUAUGAUGAUUGGAGAUAAUUGUUGUUGAGUUUAGAUAAUCUACGUGAUUCGUAGUUUGUUGCUAUUGUUUACCCUUUUCCUUUCUUGUUGAUGAAUAUUUAGAGAUUUCUUUUAUGGAGAUUAAGAUUUUCUUGCAUUCGAAUCUUAUGCUUGAUUGAGUUUCUUGCCUAGGUAGUUAUUAAUCUUUGAUGUUUACAAGUUUAUGAUCGUUUGGUUUAGUGUUGGAGUUGGAAACUCUAGUUGAUUUCGUUAAUGUUCAAAUGCCAUGUUCUAGUUAGUUCGUCGUUGAGUUGCUUGCGAAAUUCUCUUUGAUUGUGUGUGUUUGCUUAACAUUCAUUUGAUUAAAUGUUAAUAUGUUAUUUCGCCUAGAUAAUCGUUGUUUAUGGUGUUGAAUUGAUGAUUGCUUUCUAGAUUGCUAGUUUAGAACCCUAGCUUUGUUUGCCUUCUUGCAUUCUUAUUGGCUUGCUAUCUUUUGCCUAGUUAACUUUAUAUGCUUUAUUUUAAUUACGCAUUAGUUAAUCGGAGAGAAAGUGUCAGACCCAAACUUCUGAUUAGAGUGUUUAGGUUUAUUUCAUGUUUUCUGUGCGUAGCAUGAUCAAAGCCCUGUUUAGCCUUCCUUGAGAGACGACUUGGGUUAGCUUAUUACACUAGGACGACCUCGUACGAUUGCGAGUCAAUCCAUUAGGUGUUUUGGGUUGAGUCAAAUUUUGGCGCCGUUGCCGGGGAAGGCUUUAGGCAUUUGAUUGUGUUGCAUUGUUUUCCGUGUUUAUUUUUGUUUAUUUCUUUUAACUCGGUUAUUUUCUCCCUCCGGUGCGUUUGAUUUGUUUGUUCGUGUUGUGUAUGCAAGGACGCAAAAGCUUGAAGAGAAAGCUUGCACCUUACUACGACAUCAUUCAUCGACCUCGUGAGGUCCUUUCAAGCCUGGAGAAGGAGUCCGAGUCCAGUUCGAGAAGCCUUGUGGAAUCACAGUUUAGUGAGGAAAACUGUGAAGAGAGAAUUGCUUCCAAUCCCAUUCUGGAAGCCGUUGAGGAGACACUUUCCGUGCAUUCUGAAGAAGAAGAAGAAGCUCGGCCCAAUCCUGACCAAGAAGCAAUGGCGGAGCAGAAUGUCCAGUACAUGGGAGAUUUUUCCAGGCCAGUUAUUGGGACCACUAGCACUUCUGCGAUAGUGCUUCCCACGGCGGUCCGGAAUUAUAAUCUGAAGCCCAACGACUCAAACCUGCUGCCGCUCUUUCACGGGAUGCCCAGUGAGGACGCCUUGCAGUUCAUCCGUGAUUUCUGCACCCAAGUGCAGACCUUCCCACUGCUGGAGCUCACCGGGGAUCAGUUGAGACUCAAGUGCUUACCUUAUGCACUCAAGGAUCGGGCGAGAACGUGGUUAUUGUCCUUGCCGCCGAACUCCAUCACUUCAUGGGGAGAGGCGUGUGAGAAGUUCAUGCUCAAGUACUACCCCAAUCACAAGACACAGGAGAUUAGGAGCCAGAUAAUGAACUUCAUGCAAGGAACUGACGAGCCUCUCCACGAGGCUUGGGAGAGAUUCCAAGAGCUCCUCCGCCAGUGCCCACAGCACCAGUUAGCACCCGUCAUGUUGAUGCAGUUCUUCUAUGACGGGUUGAUUCAGACGGCACAGUUUAUGGUGGACAGUACAGCAGGGGGCAACAUUGCCCGAAAGACAGCUGAUGAGCUCAAGGAGAUCUUCGAAACACUCGCCGCGAGUUCUCAACAGAAAUCAGUUAGAGGAAGGAGGGUUGAAGCCAAUGCAGUAGCUCCCAACAAUGAGCUUCAGAAGCAAGUAGCGGACUUGAUGAGGCAAGUACAAAACCUCAGAAUGAACCAAGCAGAGGCCCCACCAGUUCACGCGCCACCAGCAGAAGGAUGUGGCAUAUGUGGCGAUUUUGGUCAUGGAACCAACGCAUGCCAUCGAAUGGGGGAAUUCACACCAGAAGAAGGAGCAGAAGUAUAUGCUGCUCAGGGCUAUCCGGGGAGGCCUCAAUUUGAACAGAGGCCCAUCUUUAAUCAAGGGCAACAAAGCUCCAACUCGGGUUGGAGAAAUGAGCAGAAUUCGGGAUGGAGGAACCAAGCUCCUGGCCAAGGGUCGGGAUCAAACCAAGGCAAUCAGCUCCCCGACCUCCACAGCAAAUGGGGUAUCAGAACCAGCAGCAGUUCUACCCAUCUCAACAACAGCCCUCAUUUCCUCAGCAGCAGCAUUACCCUCAACCAUAUCAGCAACAGCAGCCACCGCAGUAUCAACAGUACCAGCAGUUCCCCAUGCAACCACCGAUGCAGCAAGGGCAAUUCCAGCAACUGCAGCAGCACCAGAAUUCACCUCAACAGUUUCAAAAAGUAGUUCCAGUGCCAACCUAAAAGCCAUCUCUCGAGGAUACUAUGCAGUCCUUUAUGGAGAUGACCAAACAGAGCAUGGAGUCUCAGUCUGCCACUAUCAAGCGUCUUGAGACAACCGUUGGGCAGCUCUCUGGGACCUUGAACCAGAUGCAACAGCAGCAACAACCAGGGAAGCUCCAUGGCCAAGGAUUACAGCCCCACCAAGCUCAAGCAGACACUGUCUUACGCAGUGGAAAAGUGGUGAACAACAAAGUGGAAGCCCCUGUGGAGAACCCCCAAGGAAGCCCGCAUGGAGGAGCAAGUAAAGGAGCCACUGCAGCCAAGAGAGGAGGAAAAGGAGAAGGAGUCCGAAGUGAAGCUCACAAGGCUGCCAAGCCAUAUAAAACACCGGUCCCUUACCCGAGCCGGUUGAAGAAUGAGAAGCUGGACCAGCAAUUCACCGAUUUCUACAACAUGUUNUACAACUUUUGUCAGUUAAACUUCUAAAUUAAAAACGCUUUAAUCUUGUGCAUAAGUGGGAGUUUUGCAUGUAAACGUUCACACUAUCGUGACUUGCAUAUAUUAAUUCAUGCGAGUUAUUCUAGGAAAGAUUAAAGUAAUUAUUUUAACCUUGUGAAUAGUGGGAGUUUCUCGUGUAAACGUCCACACGAACGUGGCUUGCACGGGUUAGUUUUCAUGGAUUAUUCUAGGAGGGCUUAAAAUAAAAGAUAGUCAUAAAAUUGACUAAACUGUGGUCAUAGCUUAGACGUUAAUUUCAAGUACAACUCCCAACGGAGUCCCUUCUUGAAGUUGCGUGGUCUAGUUAAGGUCCGUUUAUUGGUUCCAUUUUAUCAUAAGGAUAAGUUGACAAUGGAAUGAGACCAAAGACUGGGUGUCUGGUCAAACGAGGAGCACGUAAAUGUCCACACGAACAUGGCUUGCGUGUAAUUCGAUUGGGCUAACGGAGGUUUCAAUAAUAUUGUUUUAUCAAAAGGUUACAAUAUUAUUGCUACGAAUCUUUAUGCAAUAACGUGUUUUCUAAUGUGUGCUUGUUUGUUUAUAUUUCAGAUAUGACUGUUACCCCGCUUUUGAAUAUUUUAUCUGCUAAGCCGCUUAUCGGUCCAAAUUUUUUGGAAUGGAAGCGCAAUCUGGGAUUUGUCCUAGACGCGGAGGAGUAUAAGUUUGUGCUUACUACUCCAACUCCUGCGAACCCAACUACUCGGUCUUCCGAGGAGCAAAGGGAGGUUCACAAGCGAUGGCAUAGGGCAAAUAGUAUGGUGAAAGCCUACAUAAUGGCCACUAUGUCUUCCGCGUUGCAGCUGCAACAUCAAUCGAUGGAGACUGUGGCUGCAAUAAUGAAAAACCUCAAGGAGCUCUUUGGGGAAUCAGAUCGGUCAGUCCGUUUUGAACUCAAGAGGAAACUUAUGUCUUCAAAGAUGACGGAGGGUUCUUCUGUGCGUGAGCAUGUGCUCGGAAUGAUUCAUCAUUUCAACGAGCUAGAUCUGCUUGGUAGAGGUAUCGCGAAUGAUACUAAGGUUGACAUGGUCCUCCACACUCUGCCCAAAUCCUAUGAGAACUUCCAUCUCAAUGCCGUCAUGGGCAAGAAAAAGUUUACUCUAAAUGAACUGCUAAAUGGGUUGGAUGUGGUCGAGGGGUUUAAGGGAAAGAGUCCACAGGCUCUGGCAACUGCCAAAGGUCCUAGCUUUGCACCGAAAGGUGAAAAGAAGCAGAAAGGGCUCCAUGGCAAGAAAGGCCAAGCAAAAAGUGGGAGCAAGAAGUUAGGCCCGACCGGAGGUGUUGGUAAGCCAAAGAGGAAAGGAAAAUGCUUCAAGUGUUAGCAAGUAGGACAUUGGAAGUAUGACUGUCCCAUGAUGAAGAAAGCUCAAGGUAAUUCUACUGCUUUGGUAAUUGAAACAUACUCAGUUUCGAGAUCUUCCCAUCAAGUUGUUGACUCGGGUGCAACUGAUCAUGUUUGUUACACCUUGCAGGGGUUCCUACGGACAAGAGAGCUGAGUAGAAGGGAGCUUGCACUCUCCAUGGGAAAUGAAGCAAGCUUGCAUGUUGUUUCAAUUGGAGAUGUGAAUUUGUUUAUUGAUGGACAUGUUUUAGUCUUGAUGGAUGUACUUUUUAUUCCGGGUUUUCGGAAAAACUUGAUUUCUACCAUUCAAUUACGCAAGUAUGGAUAUUCUGUUCUUUUGGAAGAUAGUGCAGUAUUCAUUAAAGAUGGUCAAGUUUAUUUAAAAGUGCGGCAGAUUCUCUCUAUACUUUUAGAUGUCCAUUCGAUUAUUCUUCAUCUGCUUAUACUUUGACUACAAACCAAAAGAAGAGAAAGGCUUCUUCUCUAGAGAACCAAACUCUUCUUUGGCACCUAAGAUUGGGUCACAUCAAUCUAAGGAGGAUCCAAAGAUUAGUUUCCGAUGGUAUCUUGGAGUCUCUCCAAGUAGAACCAAUCCCAGUCUGCGAAUCCUGCAUAGAGGGAAAGAUGACGACUCAGCCUUUCAAGGCCAAGGGGUAUAGGGCCAAAGAAGUGUUAGAAUUGGUUCACUCUGACUUGUACGGAUCCAUGUCCACUCAAGCUCGUAGAGGGUACGAGUGCUUUGUCACUUUCAUUGACGAUUACUCAAGGUACGGGUACAUUUACUUGUUACGCUACAAAUCUGAAUGCUCUGACAAGUUUUAAACAUUCAAGGCAGAAGUAGAGAAACGAUAAGGUAAAAGUAUCAUGUCAUUGCGAUCUGACCGCGGUGGCGAAUACCUCAGUAACGAGUUUAGAGCAGAUUUGUUAGAAUCUGGGAUUACAUCUCAAUUGACUACACCGGGUAAAUAGAAUGGUGUGGCAGAGAGAAGAAAUAGAACUCUUCUAGAAAUGGUUCAUUCGAUGAUGAAUUUUGCUACUCUACCUAUAUCAUUUUGGGGAUACGCCUUGGAAACGGCUGAUUACAUUCUUAACUUAGUGCCUUCUAAGUCGGUUGCAAAGACCCCGUCCGAGCUGUGGUCAGGGCGCAAGCCUUCUCUUAACCACAUCCGGGUUUGGGGUAGUCCAGCACACGUGCUGAACAAGGAUACCGAUAAGUUGAGACCUGGAACUGAAGUAAAGUUAUUUAUAGGAUAUCCUGGAGGAACGAAAGGUGAAUAUUUUUAUUGUCCGAAGGAUCAGAAAGUCUUUAUUAGUACUAUCGCAAUAUUCUUGGAAGAGGACUAUGUAAAUAACCACAAAAGUAUCCAUUUCCUCGACAGAUUCAUUCUUGAGCAUGAGGAAUGAGUCGAACUUCUGGCAAGCUAUGGAUAGCUUAUUCUCCUUGAUUUCCUCGGAACCUACGCACAUUCUUUCCAGAAUGUCCCACAUCUCCUUUGCAGUUCCGCACUUGAUGAUCUUCAUGACAUGCUUGUCGGGAACGGUGCCGGAGAUGAUGCUUUUGGCGAGGUUGUCUAGCUCAUCUUGCUUCCUUUCUUCUGUGGUGAAGUCUACCUUUUGCUUGGGCUGGACCUCAUCGUAAGGAUAUUGUUGUGGAUCAACAGGAACCUUCUUGACGAUUUCGGUGAUGGUGAUUGGUCCGCUGGUGAUGACUUCCCACAUUCGGCAAUAUUGGGCGGUGAGGAAACUUUCAAGCUGAAACUUCCAUAUGUCGUAUUUUUCAAUACUAAACAUAGGUAGAGAAGAUAAUCUUCUGUGGUUAGUCUCCAUCAAAAAAGAGAGAACAGAUAACAGCAGAUAGAACAGAUAGCAGGCACAAAAAGAAAGAGAACUUUUUCGAGACCUUUGAGAAAAAGGAUCUAGUUCAAUUAGAACCUAAUCAGAUACAACCUACUCUGAUACCAAUUGUUAGGUCCAGAGGGUCUCGAAUAGGUGUAUGGGGGGGGGGGAAAUACACCUAUGGGCUAUUUUUCAAAUCCUCAAUCAGAGGGAUCUCAGUCAGAGAUCAAAACGAAACUUUGCAUGCAAACACAGACUCCUGUUUUACUGAAAACAGUUUUGACCAAGCAGGUUUGACGACUGAUACUGAAAGCUCUUCAGUAAAGAGUUAUCAGUUAAGUUGCUGGAACUUAACUGAUGCACGUAAGGGCUUCAGUCGUGUUUGCUAAGACAGAGAUGAUAACACUCUUCCUGACUAUCAAAAGAUAGAUCAGUCAGACUGAUAUCAUACGCAGCGGAAAUUAAACUUAGUUUCGCAAUAGCCUUGGUGGAGCACGUUGUUGGUUGUUAGGUUACUCUUUGCAGUUAAUCAGUGUUCAGUUUAUCAAUUGAAAUAACACAAGUAAGAAUGUAAAACUGAAAGCUGUAAACAACACAGAGACUUUUACGUGGUUCGGAAAAACCCUUUCCUACAUCCACGGUUGGUUGAUCAGACCAACAAUCCACUCCGCAAGUGCUUAACAGGUGCACUGCAAACUAAACCGUGUGCUUGCCGGGUGCACACAACCGUACCACUGAAGAAAACCCUUCUUCAGGACCCACGCUUCACUCGCGUCGGAUUUCUCUGCUCAGCACAACCCGUGCUAAGACUUCUCACUCAGAGUCAGAGUACCUUGCUAAACUCCGAAUCACUCAAACACUCUUUUGGGGGGAGGUUUGAACGAGUGCCAACUUCACUACAAAGAACAAGUUCUUUGAAGCAAGUUUGACCUUUGGCUUCUAGGUAAACAGAGGUUUGCCUAAGGUCUAAGAGAAUACGUGUAAUUAGCAGUGACUGACUUUGGCUUUGGAAUUCUCUUCUUCAAUUCAAGCUUUGAAAUCUUGCCAACUAAACUUCAAAGAACAAGUUAUUUGGAGUUAGUUUUGACCUAGGCUCUGGAUAAACAGGGGUUUGCCUAAGGUCUAAGAGAAUGUAUGUAAUCAGUAGUGACUGAUUUUUUGCUUUGGUAUUCUCUUAUUCGAUUCAAGCUUUGGGGAGGUUAAUCUUUGGCUGAGAAAUAAUUUCGGCAGAGCUUCAGCUUAUGUCGUUGAAUCGGUGAAGGUUGAAGUGAUCCUCGAGCGCUAUUUGUAGGAGAACUCUUGAAUAGAUCCGUUGGCGUAGAACGUCAUCAAGAUUUCUUCCGUUGGAGAGCAAUUCAAAUUUGGGCUGAGGCUUCAAUCUGGGUGGAAACGGCUCUCUUGAUGGACAGGAGAUGUGACGUCUCUAAAAAGUAACCACCAGAUAGGAAUGACCUCUGCAGAGAUAAGGAUAUCCUGAGAUCUCUGCAUUUAAUGCGGCUGUACUUUGUGAGUACGUGGCUUCCUCUGAAUGUUGGAAGAUCAGUCCUACGAGGAAUGUUCAACUGAUACUUGACUUUAGUAUCAGUCCAUUGCGCGCAUUAAGUAAUCAGUCUUCAACUGAUACUUCAGUUGGUAUCUGCAGUCUUCAGUUUUCAGUCCUUCGUUCUUCAGUCUUCAGUCUUCAAUCUUCGAUACCGCAAGCUAAACUAGAACCGAACUCUAACUCUUGAGUUCAAAGCAAUUCUAGUCUAUUACAAUUAAGUCCUAUGAAUUUUGGUAUCAUCAAAACAAGGGUUAGGAUAUUCCACAAGUGUAAAGCAGAAACCAAUUAUGUUUAUGUUUGGAGGUGGAACUAUUGUGUGGAAAAUUGUAAAGCAGAAACACAAUUCACUAUCCACCAUGGAAGCCGAGUAUGUAGCUUCUAAAGAGGAUGUAUGGCUUAGGAACUUCCUAACUGAGAUUGAUGUGAUUCCUAGUUUGCUGAAGUGAAUCACAAUUUAUUGUGAUAACGAGGCUGCUAUUGCGAAUAGCAAGGAUUCAAGAUGUCAUCAAUCCAUGAAACACAUUGAUGGCAAGUAUCAUUACAUUCGGUCUGUGGUCAAACAUGGUGAUGUUGCAUUGAUGCAUAUUGCGGGAGUUGAUAAUCUGACUGAUCCCUUCAUGAAGAGUCUUCCUGGUGCGGUAUUCAACAAGCAUGUUGAAGGCUUUGGAGUUCGUGACCUCCCUAUACUAAAUUAAACUUUAGUAUGAGUGGGAAAUUUUAUAAUAACUAGAGGAUAUUAUCAGUUUAUCAGUCACAUUGUAUAUUAAAAGUUUGCUUUAGUAUAAGUGGCAGAAUUGAAGGGUUGUAUACUGAAAGCAAGACUUUAUGCUUGUAUACAUUGAUUCAUUUGUUCAUUGGGAUUCUUCUAUCUGAAAUAUUAUUAUUGCAUAAUUCUAUUAUAGUCCAAUUUAUCUCAUAUUAUAGAUUAUAUGGUGUGUUGUAGAUCACAGAAGAUCAAUAAUUGGAAAAAGUUGAGAUAUAAAUUGAGUUCACAAUCGAGGCAACUAUGGACGAGUUGCUGGUUUAGAUUGUAGCAUAAAUGGAUAAAUAGUUUAUCUUGGCUAUUUAUUUAUGCUAGUACCUUCGUGUAUUGAACAGGAUCACAAUGAGAUGAAUUCUUAUAUUCUGACUUAUUAAGAAUCAAGAUCUCGGUGACUUAAAUAGUCUUAACCUUAAUUGAAUUAAUCGGUGUGAAUAAUUAUACUCGAUACUUUGGGUUAUAGCAAUUAUUAUUUGACAUGUGGUUAUAUUGCAAUAAGGAUCCGUGUCCUGCUAAUAACAAGAUGAUAAUAUCCUCUUGAUGAACUUAAUAAGUUUAUCGUAUUAAACCCUGCAGGUGGAAUUAGUUCUGAUACGAUAAUAAGUUUAAGUGGUAGCACUUGACUCAACCUAAAACACCUCUAGAUUGACUUGCAAUAGAACAAGGACAUCCUAGCAUGAUAAGGUGACCCAAAGUCAUCUCUCAAAGAAGAUUUUACAGGGCUCCUAAUUGUAUCACGGCAAAAGCAGUAAAGUUGUUGUUGAAAACUGUAAAAUUAAACAAACACUUGUAAAUUAAACUUAACGUUAAAUUAAACUCGGAAUUAACUAGGCGAAAUACAAAUACUUAAGCAUAAAUAAAUUAUUAACCCUAGGCAGAAUUAAACGGAUAAAGUAAAGGUGAGUUAAAUUUAAACGCUACAAGGCUAAGAAUUUAAAUAACUUUAAUUAAAAGCUUCUAAUCUAAUUUGACACAAACGAAAUUGCAUAAUUGAAAGCAAAACAUAAUUCAUAACGAUGCAAAGAAAUUAAAGUAAAUACGAAAUACCAUAAAAUAUUGCGAGGAUGAAAUUACUGUCACUUGAUUACAACUUCGAAAUGGAAAACAUAACUAGAAAACGAAGAUGAAAUCUAACUAGAACAAAAAUCUUGAAAACUUGAAGAACAAUGAAAACUCGAAAACGCUAAGUGUUUUGGUUGCUUGACGGAAGAGCAAUAAUUCCCAAAGGCAAAAGAUGAUUUCUCAUGAUGAACGUUAAGCCCUUUAUAUAGACUGCCAUUUCAUCAACCCUAAAAAUCAUCAAGAACGGCCCAUGAAAACUAGGCUUAAGAGAUAGAGUCGUGACAGCAAAGGAAAGUUCAGGAUUGGAAAGAGUGCUCGGCAAGUAACAACAGCGCUGGCGAGUGUUAGCCAACUCUGGAGCAGUACUGGCAGCCUUGCGCGUGAUUGCCAGCGCUGGAAACUGUCAACUCUGGACACGAAGUCAGUUCUGGAAUAUUCAGCUCUGUAGAAUUGUAGUCUGCUCUGAAUAUGUACUCUGCUCUGGAGAUGUAGUCUGCUCUGGAGAUAUAGUCUGCUCUGGAGCUCAGCUCUGUCUACUUUGGUCAGCUCUGGAUACGGUGAGCUCUGGAUAUGGAUUGUCAGCUCUGGCUAUGGAACGACAGUGCUGACGGUCUUGUCAGCGCUCACAAGGCAGCAGAGUAUGGCACCACUUUGAGCCUAAAUACGCACUUUCUGAACAAAAUCUCCAAAAUAUCAUUCUUUCUCCUAUUUUAUCAAAAUCUCCUGCAACACAUCAAACAAACUCAUAAACGCACCAACUUUCAGAAUAUUUAACUCAAAUAUAGCACAAUCAAACCCCCAAAUUAAGAACAAUUAGGCAUAAAUCAGCACUCGAGGUGUCGUUUAUAAUUAAACGACUAAUUAAUUAAUUAAUUGAUCGUCAGAGGAAUUAAUUAAUUAAUGGAUAUUGGAUAUCUUAAACACGGGGAUUAAUUAAGUCUUAUGCUAGCCCUGACUCACCUAAACAAUAAAGAGGUAAUUCAGUAUUAAUUUUCUAGUGCAAUAAAUUAAUACUUGUGUCUCAAUUUUGAAUAAGAAAAUCGAGCACUGGGAGGCCAAACUUUAUUCGAGCUAGUAGAUCCCCGCUUGGUCCAAUAAAGGCGUAAUUCCAUGGGGGCGUCCCUUUCUCAAUUAUUUUCUCUUGGACUUUAUUUAGUUUAAUUAAGUUUAUGGGCUUAUUAUUUAGGUAUGACUAAUACCUAGUAUAAAUAAUAAGAAAGCCCUAAACCUAAUUACUUGAGCAUUAACGUGUAGCCAGAAAACAGAGAGUUAUGUGAGAGCAGAAGGAAAGAGGGAGACGCCAAUCCUAGAGGUGGAAAGGACUUGAAGCUCGUUGCCAUCCAACGUCAAGUCUUGCCGUGGGAAACAAGUCGGAAUAUUCACUCUUGUAACACCCCGCAGUUUCUUUAUUACUUUUUUUUAAGUUCGCUAUUAAGAGUAUUGAGAUACUGACAUUAGCUUAUUAAAUAGGCGGCCACGGAAAUCUCUUUCGAAGACGAAGAAGUCGUAUUUCUGAGAAAAAUACAAUUGGAGGUCAUUUGAGGGGUUAAAGGGAGUGUUGAAGUUGACUGACCUGUUCAGUGGCGAAUUGACGAAUUCUUAGGAAUUCUUCAGGUAUUUCUGAACUCCUCGGUGCAGUGUUUAAAUUAAUAAGAGCAUGCUGACAUGCACCCAUCGUGCGGCACGAUCAAAAUACUUGUGUUCACCCUAGACGGAUGAUACACGCUCCUACGUCUCGCAACCAGAAACAAGUCUUAGUGAUAAGUAUAGGGUCGAAUCCCACAGGGAGUGAGGAACCACUUUGUUCUCUGACGACAAACUGAGGUGUCACUGGUCUCAAUCUAUAUACUCUGCACAAGAAAUUAAACAAAGAUCAAUAAUAACAAGGGGGUGAGGUUGUUCGGUUAGGUCAUAACUGUUGUCAACAUUUGUUUUGGUCAUAGGCACACUGAUCAUCCUUCCAUGAUCCAUAUAAACUCAAGGCGUGUCCCAAAGACAUUGGGGCGUUUCAAGAGGUUAUACUUCACACUUAGGAUGGUUGAGUCCAUUGUAAUCACUUGGUACGAAGGUCAAACAAUCCCCGGUCACAAGGAUGUGCUUCAUUUCUCCUUAGAUGGUAGUCAUACCCGUUAGUCACCAAGUAUGACCCUCACCAACCUUCUCUCCCGAGGUCCCCAACUCUGCACUUUGAGUGACACAUGCCUCCUGGACACAACCAUUUCUGGCUUGUUAGCCGACCAGUCAUAGACAUGCUACGGCGCAGAAGUUACCUUCCUCGUUUGAUAACCAUGGCUUUAUGCCUCGUCACAGUUGAUGGAUUGUCUCUAGAGAAGCCCAAGACUGGGGAAGGACAGUGUAUCCCAUCAAUCCUUUCCCCACCUUCCGGAUCUACAACGCCUUUUGUUGACGCUGCUCAGCUACUCAGUCGUGGGUAUACUGGUUGUCACACCCGGGUAUCCCCUGGCCUUUGCUUAACACGGACAGCGUUUUACCAAACAGAGAUCACCCGUUUGGCCCCUACUGUCCAUGAUUUCGAACAGAUCCUUCCGAAACCACGAGACUCAACCGAAAGAACAAAUGCCUCAUGAAUGUUUACAUAUUGACAACAAUUAUUUCCACCCCUUAAACCUCACCAAGGAAAUUAGUCACACAUAGCAGAAAUCAUAAAUGCAAAAUGAAUUGAACACAACAUAUAACAAAAUGGAAAUGCUUUAAAUAAGAGAAAUAAUACCUAAGGCCACGAGCCUUACGAUCUUGUUCUUACUUGAAUUGAAAACGAAGUGAUAAAAUACUAGAAAUGUAAAUUGUUUUUAAUGCCACACUCGGCAGAAUUUAGAGUAAUAAACUAAAUAAAAUAAGAGUUCAGUCGGGCCAAAAAGCUUCUUCACGCAGCUCGUCUUCACACUUUUAUACUGCAAAACGGUGGAGGGCUAACCCUAGCUGCGCCAACUUCAUAUCUUCAUCGAGAUCUUCUUUCCUUCUUUAGCGCAAUCCUUGAUUGAUCCGAUUGGAGAUAUCUUCCAGCUGCAUGCUGUAGUCAACCUUCACCUUUUUCCAGAUUCUUCCAGCUCCUUCUCCAUUCUUCCGCAUUCUUCCAUCAAAUCUUCGGGAUCCACUUUCCUUUCUUAGCUUCGGCUGUCUGCUUUUCCUUGUACUGGUCAGACAGAUUGCUUCACUCGGUUUGACUCAUACCAGGUGGGGUGCUUCGGGUUCCCAUACCCUAAGUUAGACUUGAGAGGUACUGCGCCUAGGCUCCAUGCUGGUAAUCAUAACAUUGCAAUCUGGGCUUGGUAAUGCCCAUUCCAACCACAUUUCUUCCGUUUCCGCUCCACUGGGCCUUCCUUCCCUAACAACAUUAUUUUCCCCUGGACGGACUUGAACUGACACAAACAAAAGAGAAAAACAGGGCCAAAUGGCCCAAAAGUCGAAGAUGCAUCACACCUACACACUUAAACCAUACUUUCCCUCAAGUAUGUAGGUGGAUUCACAGAAGACACGGACGAAAAGAUGAAAGGAAAGAAAUAAAGACUUCAAGACACGAGACUUGCACAAACUUCAGGUUCAGAUCAUAUCAACAUGCAUCAUUCAGUUCAGUCGAAACCACAAACCAGAGAGUAAUGAAUAUGCAUAAAGUGCGAUAGUAGCUUCUCUCUCACUCAAGUACAUAGCUAAGUGUAUACACUCUUACUUUGCUGUACCAGUUCUUCUAUGAGUUUGAUUGAAAACUACAAGUAAAGCACACUAGCAUGACUCAUCAGAGGGGCUUUCAUUUGGUUGUAAUGGGGCAUACGGAGCAAAGGUGAGAUACAUAUAGUUAAGUGGCUAAUUCAGUAUCACCCAUGCCCAACAUAUAUAUUUAGUAAAACCACAACCAACUUUUUCUUCCCCCUUUUAGUAGGGAUCAACCUUUCUUCGAUUUUUGGCAACUUUUAUCAUCAAUUUUUUUUUGUGCCCAGAUUUUCUUUUUUCUUUUCAAUUCCUUGUUUACCAUUUCGUGCAUCACAAUAAUUCUUCAUUUUAGAUAUAAUCUUAUCAACAAAAGGGCUCAAGAAAGAAUAAGUCCGGCUCAAAUUGGCAUAACAAGGGAUUUUAUCACAUUUAUCAACAAAGAAAAUUCUGAGGCCCUAAUCAAAGAAAUGUGCCCUAAUCAUGCAAGUCAUCAGUAGCAGUAGAGGUUUUCAAACAAAAUCCAGAGUCCCUAGUACAGCAAAGUCUCACCAAAAAUAUGCAAAUUUUCACAAGUACGGCUCUGAUCUCACUAGUGGGAUAAUAUCUGUAAGCUCACAACUACUAUCAUGCACAUCAUACUCAUCCACCAAAUUAUGCCAUAACCAAAAUCAGCAUGCAUACUUGACGAAGCCGUCGUUUGAGCUUCGCGCAAAUAAAAUAUCAUGUGCCCAUAACUAGACUAGCUAGUGGUAAGUCCAGAGUCGAAUCCACAGGGAACUGAGCAGUAACUUCUCCUGCAAGGGUGUCACUAAAAAGGUUUUGUAUUCUGCAGUGUUCUGACCACAACGUGCUUAUGGGCAGAACGGGAUUUCCAACUAAAACUGAAAUACAAAGGUAGAUAAAUCAAAUAACAAAACAAUUCUGACUUGGGUUCGAAUCACUAAACAUGAACUAGACACUCGAUCAUUGGUGCAAAGAUAAAUUACUAUAUUCGCAUACCAGUGGUUAUAGGCAUAAGAAUUGUUGCGCCCCUAUUGUCACUCGUCACGCACGCAAAAACCCCUCGCCCAAUCUAUCCUUUCAGUUUAUGAUCCCUUAGAAGGGUCAGCUAAUGGAAAUCAACUACCCCGGGCAACAUCCACGCUCUCUGCGAUGGUCUAUCGCUAGUUGUGCUUUGCUUAGAAUGCUUUAAGCUCUAGAUAGACCCACUUGACUCUUACUGUCGCAGCCCGAUUCCCAAACGCUAGUAAUAGCGGGGUAUGAGUAUCGAUACGACUAAAAUCAAAGAAUAAAGGACAUCACAAUUAAACUGAACAUCAGCGGAAGCUUACAUCAAAACACGCAAAGGCAAAGCCUCAAAACUCGACUCGAGGGUAUAUUCGUCAACAUCGUUCUAACUUCUUGAAUGUUAGGAAUUUCAAGAAGAAAAGCAAAGUAGGUACUGCUCAUUUUCCAUAGGGAAACAUAAAAUCAAGAGUAUCGCAGCAGAAAGGCGUAUCAAUUAUAUGUAUGGAGACAUAUAAUCGCGAGUAUAUUGCUUGAUUAGGAAGGAAUAAAGCAUCAAUUCACUAAUGUUUUAUCAACAUUAGAAGGAAAACAAAGUACAUCAUUCUUAAGACUCUAACAUCGAAGGAAAACAUCAGAGGAGCUUCAUCAACGAAACAGUCCCCGCCAGCACCAGUCCAAUCUCGCUCCAGAGCUUAGCCUGCACAUUUAGAAAUAUAUGCAGGGCGUGAGUAAUAAUACUCAGUGGGCAAACGCCGGAAAAACAUCAAAGGUGCUCUUAGAGCUAUAUGUUUGGAACUUGCCAUAACAUCAGCAAAACACAGAAUUAAGUUAGCAUCAAAGAAUCUGUGCAUGCAGUUUUCAUAAUCAUAACAUCAUAAAGAAACGAUAGCGCUAUCAAAGUAUUCAUCAUGCAUGUACCACAUCUACAACUUAUCAUUUUAUCGGUACUGAGAAGUAGGCCUCCCUCUCAAGUACCGUGACUGGCCGACCCGAAGACGGCUCACAGUCACCUCUGUGUACACAACCCCGCUUGCGGCAGGAUCCGAAUUCGUCUCAUCAGUAGAGGGUAACAUACAAGCUCAACAUUAAAAUUUGGCAAGUCAAACAGUUCUUAAACAUCAUUUAAGUCAAGAUUUGAUAAACUCGUAAAUAUCAUCAUUUUAUUUCAAGAAGCUCAUAUGAUAAACAUAUACUCAAAAUAUUGCCCACCUGGAGUCCUUUGCUUAAGCUCGGAUAGGAACAGGUGACUUACUUCUUUGUCUCGCUUGGGUCUUCAGGAAUCAUCAACAUCAUCACGAAAGUUCAUGUGAUAAAACAACCUUAGUUAGUACUCAAUACUGAAAUCCAAACUCGUCUCAACAAUAACUUUUCGCUCAACGCCUAUUUACUCAGAAAAACUAAAUCCCUAGGCAUACUCAACUUCUAAGGAUUCUCACGUCUUACUCUCGACUUAACUCUCAACUCGGACCAUACUCAAACCAAAAGCACAUCGGUACACAAUCACAUAAGCAUGCAACUUCACAUAUAAACAUAUCACAAACAAUCAAACAUAAGUUGACUCGGAGACCAGAGCAGAGAAAUGCUCGGUGGUCAAGGUGAAAAACUCAGCCGGGCGGAGCGGAGCAGCUCGGCGAAACAGCGGAGAAAAUGCUCGCCAGGGCAGAGGAAUCAACUUGCCCGAGCAGCGAAGUCAUGAACUCUCUGGCAGAGCAGCGGUGAAAUGCCAGAGGAAUGACGAACUCUCUGUCGCCAGAGGACUCAAACGUCAGAGGACUCAAAACUCAGAGGGCUCCAAACUCAGAGGACUCAAACUCCAGAGGACUCAAACUCCAGAGGACUCCAAACUCAGAGGACUCAAAACUCAGAGGACUCAAACUCAAGAGGACUCCAAACACCAGAGGACUCAACUUCAGAGGACUCGAUCGUCAGAGAAAUCGAACAUCAGAGAAAUCGAAAUCGGAGGAAUCGAUCGUCAGAGGAAUCGAUUUCAGAGCAGCGAAGUCACAAUGCCAGAGGAAUCAAAGUGUCAGAGCAGAGGAAUGACGAACUCUCUGGCAUAACAUCGGAGACGUGGAUUCGCUGGUCAGAUCAGCGGGGAAAUGAACUCUCUGGCAUGCCAGCGGGGAAACGACUUCUCUGGCAUGCCAGCGGGAAAACGACUUCUCUGGCAUGCCAGCGGGAAAACGACUUCUCUGGCAUGCCAGCGGGAUCACAACUCGGCAGAGCAAAACUCAAGGCAGAACAAAACGAACAAGAGUAACUCUAACUCCAUCGACUUUUCAUACCCAGAAAUCAUCAAACAUCACAUUAAUCCUUUCAUCUAUUCAUGCUCAAGACUCAGUUUUGAAAAACACCUCUAAAUCACUCAAAUCAUCACGUAUAACAUACAUCUCAUCNUGGUGUAGUUGUAGAUCUACAGAAGACCAUUAUAAUUUGGAUUAACCUUAAGAGAUAUAAUAUGAUCACAGCCGAGAUGACUUUAGGACGAGUCAUCGGUUUAGGCUGCGGUAUAGAUGGAAGUAGUUUGUCUUGACUACUUGUCUAUACUGGUACGUCAUAACGUAUUGAUAGGACCACAGUGAGAUGUAUUCUUCUAUCUGACUUAAGUGAAGAAUCAAGAUCUCGGUGACUUAAUAAAAUCUUAAUACUAAUAAGAUUUCAUAUAUAUAUGUUAAUUCGUGUAUCACUUUGAUUUACUAUGAGUGAGAGUUAUAUAGUAACUUAAGUACUCUGUAUCUUGGGUGAUAGCGGUUAAUAUAUGAUAUUUGAUUAUCUGUAUUAGUACCCGUAUCCGGUAUAGGAUAAUGACACCCCUUAAGGAGCUCAAUAAUGUUUAUUGCGCUAAACCCUGCAGGUUGAUUAAGUUCAGGCGCAAUAAUAAGGUUUGAGUGGUACUGCUUGAGAUUAUAAAGAUUAAUUAAUUUAAGCUGUCAGAGCUCUAAUUAAUUAAUGGAUGUCGGAUAUUUUAAAUACGGGGAUUUAAUAAGUCUAAAUACAAGCCCCGACUCAACACCGGCAAUAAAGGGGUAAGUCAAUAUUGGUUUUCUAGUGGAAUGAACUAAUAUUUAUAAAUUAAUUAUGGUCUGGGCUGACCAUAGAUAAUUAAUUUAUUUGAGGCAUCUUUAUUCCUUGUAUCUGGUCCCUGGACUGGCCAAAGUCUCCUGCCCAAGAAGAGAGAAACAGCCUCCUACACCUAAUCUGCGCCUCCUAUGUGUUUAUUUUAUUAUAAAUACAACUGUCAGCUCUCAGGAAAACACACUGAUAAAAUAUUAGGAUUUUGGAGAGCUGCGGGGCGCAGGGAAACGUGUGGAGCUUUAUUUCUCUCUUGGGACUUUCAUAGAACGUUGUCCAUCCAAGGUGAAAGCUGAGCGGGUACAGUUCAGAAGAUCAGAGCUGGAGUCAGAUUUUUCGCAGGAAAUCAAGUUCUGAGUUUCAGGAGAACGGCCAUAACUUCCUCACAGAACUCCGAUUCACGAACAGGCGGCCACGAAAGCUCUCUCAAAGACGAAGAAGUGUAUUUCUGGCAAUACGAUUGAGGGUUGAGGUCAACGAGUUGAAGUGCUGCUGUUCACCAUUGACGAAUUCUUAAUUCUUCAGGUAUUUUCUGAACUCCAACGUGAGUUAAAUCAUAGGAGCAUGUUAGGGAUAAUCGUUGUAUGAUAAAUUAAUAAUAAUCCAAGAAACGAUCAUCGGGCAAACGGAGCAUUAAUUCAGUUUAAUAUUCCUUCAGAAGUCACAAUGCCAGAGGAAUCAAAGUGUCAGAGCAGAGGAAUGACGAACUCUCUGGCAUAACAUCGGAGACGUGGAUUCGCUGGUCAGAUCAGCGGGGAAAUGAACUCUCUGGCAUAACAGCGGGGAAACGACUUCUCUGGCAUGCCAGCGGGAAAACGACUUCUCUGGCAUGCCAGCGGGAAAACGACUUCUCUGGCAUGCCAGCGGGAUCACAACUCGGCAGAGCAAAACUCAAGGCAGAACAAAGCGAACAAGAGUAACUCUAACUCCAUCGACUUUUCAUACCCAGAAAUCAUCAAACAUCACAUUAAUCCUUUCAUCUAUUCAUGCUCAAGACUCAGUUUUGAAAAACACCUCUAAAUCACUUCAAAUCAUCACGUAUAACAUACAUCUCAUCACAUAUAACUCAUUUCUCACCCCAUUUUUAGAAAAGGAUCAGAAAGAUUUUUGAAGGGCAUGAGCCCAAAUUUUCGAAAAUGGCGAAUAAAGUGAAGGGGGAGUUUCUCAUGCUUCAGUCAUCCUUCUAAACACAUAUAUCACAUAAAAAGUCUAGAUCCCAAAGGAUUCAAACACUUACUCAGGUAGUUCAAGAAAAGGAAAGCUUCGGUCUCUAUUCUUCAAGCAUCAAAUUCCACUAAACUUCUUGAUUUAUGAGUAGUAAGUGUUUAUGGACUAGAUUUAGUGGAGGAUUCUUUCUCGGUUUUGACUGGUGAAGCUUCGAGCUUAGUCUCCAAUGGAGGAGAGAAGAAAUGUCUUGAGGGAGAGAGAAGAAGUUGAAAGACCGAAAUGAGAGAAAUGACGGAGAGAGAGAGAGAUGUCGUUUACGGUUUUAUCAAGAUCCUUAUCCCAUAAGAUAAGUAGCAUUUAAUGCUCAAUAGUAGUUUGUCUCCUCCCUUAGCAGCAAGCCUAAUUCGGCUAAUUACCCACAUGUGAGAAGGGAUUAAAAUAGUGGGUGUGAGUGUAGGAACGUGUGGUGGUAAAUAAAUCAUGUACGCUAAUUUUCGAGAAUCAGACUGACUCAAAAUAAUAUUAGUGCGCACAUAUCAGAUAAAUCACAUAACGUCACUUAAAUAACUCACACCGUUAUCACAUUAAAAACGGAUCAUCACUCAUCAUCACUCUAACUUAAUCCUCUUUAUAGUGAUUCAGAAUCACUACCUCGACUCUAUCUCUCGUCUUUUAUCUCAACAACAAAAAUCAAUUAUCAUCUCCAUCUACAAAUCUAACAUCAUUCUCUAGUUCUAUCAACAUCUCUACUUUACUCGUCUCGCCAUUCAUCGGCAACUUCCUUGACUCUAUGUCAAACUCAUUAUUCCUAUUUCCUUAAUAGGACUGUCAACCUCUGAUAUCUCGGUAUCCGGAAAUUCUAUUCCCGGUAGUCGGAAAUAAACAAAAUCCUGACUCAAAUUAAUCGGCAUCUAUAACUCGACUCGUUUCUCUAAUCUCUUCACUCUAACUCCAUCAUGAGUUUGUCCACUCAUAACUCAUAAUCUUCACAUCUCGACAUCUCAGUAUUCUCAGUAGUGUUAAAACACUAUCUCUUAUCAUAAGGAAAGGUACGGGGUGUUACAUCCUACCCCCCUUAAAAGAAAUUUCGUCCCGAAAUUUGAGUUAUUCAUCUCCGGGAUAAAGCUCUGGGUACUUUUCUUUCAUCUUCUCUUCAAUCUCUGGGGAAUACAUUCCCGUUAAUUCCAAGUAGUCCAUCAAUGUGACUAUCAAUUUCUUCGCUCUUUAGUCAUCUCGAAUUUUGUGCUCCGUAGCCAUUCGAGGUUAUUGGAGAUUGGCUAUUUUGUAACUGUUGCUUUAACCAUCUGUUUACAAUCAUCUUUUCUUCACGUUCCCAUGUUGACUCUUCUUGACCGCGAUGUCUCCAUUGGAUUUUCACCAAAGGAAUCGACUUGCUCCUCAAUUGUUGGAUCUUCUGGUCCAGUAUAGCAUCAGGUCUCUCUCUUCGUAGUUCAAAACUGGUUCCAGGGACUCUUCUUCCUGGGCGACGGGUUUUGAAACAAACAUCUACUUUCUCAGUUGAGGAACAUGGGAAAACGUCUUGAACGUUCGCGAAGCUCGGAGGCAACGCUAAUUAUAGGCUACUUGGCCUACUCCUUCUAAUACAUCGUAAGGCCCUAUAUAUAUAUAUAUCUCGGUUUGAGUCUUUCUAUACUCGAACUAACACGCUCCCCGAGAUUGGGAAAACUUACGUAAACAUCAUUUCUAACGUCAAAAGAAUCUAUCAGUGAUUUCUCAACUAUCGAAUCUUCCUUCUCUUGAUUUGCUAAUCGGUGUCAUAAUCAUAACGUGUGAUCUCGCUUCUAUUGUGGAAGUCUCUAACAGGUAAAAUGGUAUGAGGCUGCCAAAGUGGCGCCUACACGUGUUAAAACAUCGAACAUCCUUCUAUUAAAAGUGCCAUCACUUGCUUCUCAUCUCUAUUUAAAACGUCGUUUCAGUCUUGGCACGUAUUCAUACUUUCUCUGUCAGAGCAGCGAAAUCCUAACCAAAGCAGCGAAUUCGUAAAACCAGAGGAAUCGGAUGCCAGAGCAGCGGAAUGAAACGUCAGAGAAAUGGCUUCCGCUCUGGCGCAGACAUCUCAUCUCGUCAAAACUUACGUUUAUAUCUCAGUGCUCUAGUCUUAUCAAAAGUGUAACUCAAAUGCUCAAUAUCUCCUCUAUUUAUCAUCAUAACUCCAUCUCAUCUUAAUAAAAAUCUCAUAUCUCAGUACCGUAGUACUCUCUGCAGUGUCUCAACACUACUAUAACUCAUAAANNNNNNNNNNNNNNNNNNNNNNNNNNNNNNNNNNNNNNNNNNNNNNNNNNNNNNNNNNNNNNNNNNNNNNNNNNNNNNNNNNNNNNNNNNNNNNNNNNNNNNNNNNNNNNNNNNNNNNNNNNNNNNNNNNNNNNNNNNNNNNNNNNNNNNNNNNNNNNNNNNNNNNNNNNNNNNNNNNNNNNNNNNNNNNNNNNNNNNNNNNNNNNNNNNNNNNNNNNNNNNNNNNNNNNNNNNNNNNNNNNNNNNNNNNNNNNNNNNNNNNNNNNNNNNNNNNNNNNNNNNNNNNNNNNNNNNNNNNNNNNNNNNNNNNNNNNNNNNNNNNNNNNNNNNNNNNNNNNNNNNNNNNNNNNNNNNNNNNNNNNNNNNNNNNNNNNNNNNNNNNNNNNNNNNNNNNNNNNNNNNNNNNNNNNNNNNNNNNNNNNNNNNNNNNNNNNNNNNNNNNNNNNNNNNNNNNNNNNNNNNNNNNNNNNNNNNNNNNNNNNNNNNNNNNNNNNNNNNNNNNNNNNNNNNNNNNNNNNNNNNNNNNNNNNNNNNNNNNNNNNNNNNNNNNNNNNNNNNNNNNNNNNNNNNNNNNNNNNNNNNNNNNNNNNNNNNNNNNNNNNNNNNNNNNNNNNNNNNNNNNNNNNNNNNNNNNNNNNNNNNNNNNNNNNNNNNNNNNNNNNNNNNNNNNNNNNNNNNNNNNNNNNNNNNNNNNNNNNNNNNNNNNNNNNNNNNNNNNNNNNNNNNNNNNNNNNNNNNNNNNNNNNNNNNNNNNNNNNNNNNNNNNNNNNNNNNNNNNNNNNNNNNNNNNNNNNNNNNNNNNNNNNNNNNNNNNNNNNNNNNNNNNNNNNNNNNNNNNNNNNNNNNNNNNNNNNNNNNNNNNNNNNNNNNNNNNNNNNNNNNNNNNNNNNNNNNNNNNNNNNNNNNNNNNNNNNNNNNNNNNNNNNNNNNNNNNNNNNNNNNNNNNNNNNNNNNNNNNNNNNNNNNNNNNNNNNNNNNNNNNNNNNNNNNNNNNNNNNNNNNNNNNNNNNNNNNNNNNNNNNNNNNNNNNNNNNNNNNNNNNNNNNNNNNNNNNNNNNNNNNNNNNNNNNNNNNNNNNNNNNNNNNNNNNNNNNNNNNNNNNNNNNNNNNNNNNNNNNNNNNNNNNNNNNNNNNNNNNNNNNNNNNNNNNNNNNNNNNNNNNNNNNNNNNNNNNNNNNNNNNNNNNNNNNNNNNNNNNNNNNNNNNNNNNNNNNNNNNNNNNNNNNNNNNNNNNNNNNNNNNNNNNNNNNNNNNNNNNNNNNNNNNNNNNNNNNNNNNNNNNNNNNNNNNNNNNNNNNNNNNNNNNNNNNNNNNNNNNNNNNNNNNNNNNNNNNNNNNNNNNNNNNNNNNNNNNNNNNNNNNNNNNNNNNNNNNNNNNNNNNNNNNNNNNNNNNNNNNNNNNNNNNNNNNNNNNNNNNNNNNNNNNNNNNNNNNNNNNNNNNNNNNNNNNNNNNNNNNNNNNNNNNNNNNNNNNNNNNNNNNNNNNNNNNNNNNNNNNNNNNNNNNNNNNNNNNNNNNNNNNNNNNNNNNNNNNNNNNNNNNNNUUUCUCUUUUACCAACAAGAUUGGUGCUUCCCUUAGGGAAACACUAGGUCAAAAGAAACCCAUAUCUAGUUGUUCUUGGAGUUGCAGCUUUAACUCUUGCAACUCGUUGGGGGCCAUUCUGUAUGGCGUUUCGACGUCGGUGACGUGUCGGGCUCUAAAUCAAUCGUACCCAAACUGUCGGUCUGGGUAAUCCCCAUAAGAUCUUAGGGUAAUAUUCUCGCACGUCUGGCAUCAUCAACGUUUGCUUUGGAUUCAUCUCUCUGACACAGAUAUACAACGUACGCGAUUGUAUCAUUUCUCCGCAAGAACUUUCUUGCCUGCAGUGCCGAGAUGAUCAGCAUCUUCUUCCAUUUUCUCUCAAUACCAAUGAAGGUAGUAGGUUCUUGGCCAGAAAACUAAAACGACAUCCGUCUCUCCUUGCAUUGUAUCGUCACAUGGUUUUUCUCUAACCAAUCCAUUCCAAAAUUAUAUCUAAAUGCCACACAGGCAUCAAUCUCAAGUUUCUCGCCUCAAACUUAAUCGAUCUCAACUCAAAUUCUAAGUCAGGCACGCGGAUGAAACCAUAGUGGUUCAGCCUAUAGGUGCGAUUACUCUUUAGAGGUUGUGGAACAGGCUCUUCGUUCGGUAUCGAACAAAACUAUGGGCACAUCCUUCAAUUCGUCUAAAUCUGAAAAUUUUUCCUUGAUUUUUGUCCGAUGCUUUCUGCUCAAGCGCGAACAGUCUCUGUUGAUGCGGUUGAUCCGCCUGCGGAACUGGUAGUUGCCGUUGUGGUGGAGGUAGCGGUAGAAUUCCCUUCCUUGCUUUGUGUUGUGGUCGAACUGAUUCGGUCGUCCUCCGCUUCCACUUUGCUGACGAUUCGGACACUGUUUCGCAUAGCGCCCGAUCCUUCCGCAGGUGUAACAGCUAUUCUGUCUCAUCUUACAUCAUCCCAAAUAUAAUUUAUCGCUCUUCGACAAAGCGACAUCCCUCGUGAUUCUUGAAAGUUUACUGCUGCUGAGGCAGUUGGGCCAACAUCAUGCCGUUUGUUUCAGUUCUGAUAUUGUGGUGGCGCAUUCUAACUCUGCCACGGCUUCUUAAGGCCUUGACUUCGGUCAUCCCAUUUUCUCUUUCCUUCUUGCCCUCGUCGAGAAAAGAUAGAUGGCACAUUUAAGUGCUCUAACUCAUUUGGGGUGCUAAAGCUCAAAUCGCGUUCUCUGGCUGCAUUGCCAAAUCUACAUCAAAAUGCUCUAUUUAACCGCACUCUGACUCGUUUAAAUCGUCUCGUACUUCUUAUCUCAAACCUGAUCGAAACAAUUCUGACAUCUUCUCGUUCAUCUCUUCUCGAUAUGUGGCACACCGAACCAAGUCGCGAAACUGACGUUCGUAAACAGCUACGGUUUUAUGCCUUAUCUCAUAUCAUCAACUCUAUUUCUUCCUUCAAUCGAUUUCUCUUUCUCGGCAAAGUCUAAGGGGACAUGUAUCAACCUUAGAACUACUUCUCAUACUCGCAACUAUCAUCAGACUCUUACUCAACAUCAUACUAUUUCUUUCUAUUCUUAUAACUCAUCGUCAAAGACAUACUUUAUGUCUAUCAUCGUAAACAUCAGUCAAAGUUCUUCUCAAGAAUAAGGACUCUCUGGUCAUCGUCAUAUAAACAUAUCAGAAAAUUUUCUCUUUUGAGAACUCUUACCAAAUGCGGGGCAUAACGGAAAUGAAAUAUCCCGUAAUACUAUGCCGUUGCUACUUCCAUACUAGUCGUCAUCUCAGUCUACUAUCGCGGAAAACGUCAUCUGUCCCAGUCUGUCAUCUCGAUCUCCUUGUAUCUGCUAUGGCCUAUUCUGGCUUAGCAUUACUUCUUCUCAUCCUCGAAAUAAUUAGCUCUCUACAUACUUGGCUAAUAUAAGAAAAUCCAUAAUCGAACUGUUGUGCUCGUCCCGUAAUAAUAUAUUCUACGACUGCUCUCAUAACUCGUAUUCUCUUCCAAAUACUCUUCUUGUAUUCCAUCCUAGCUACCUAGACAUUCCUAACUCUUGUCGGAUGUAGUAGGGACUAGGAGGUAAUGAAUAAAAAUGUCUGAUCUUUGAACAAUCUUUGAACAAGACGAGCUCAAGUGAUGGAAUGAUUCCAUAAUAGCCAGUGCUAUCUCAAGGAUAAUGAAGAAGUUAAAAUCAAAGGAAGAUCAAAGGCUAGAACAGAAGCUAAGAUAAAAACUGAGGUAUGAUAUGAUGGGGGAAAAUCAAUACUGGAAGUAGAAACAAUCCACUACGUGGAAAAUGAAUAAAUCGUCCACUGUUAAAACAAGGGGUAAGGAUUCCCAAUACAAACGAUUUAGGCUCGAACACAGUGGAUCUGCUCACUAGCAAUUUGUUCAUCUCAUAUAGGAGUUCAAAUGGAUGCAGAAAAAUUUAAUAACGACCAAGCGGGAUAAGGACUCAAUAAGUCUACUCUCUCGAUUACUCUAGCGAUGAUAACGCGCGAUCCCGGUGACAGUACCUCUAUUACGAAGUACAAUUGGUCAAAAACAUCUAUGCAUCCUAUAAGAUCUCCAUAAUACGUUCACCCUAGUAGGGUCGUAUCUAUAAAUCGCGAUGAAAACUCUAAUUCUUAUCGCAUUAUCUCAACUAUCUCUCUCUCUGCUUCUCUUCUUCAUCUUCAUCUUCUUCUCGGUUUAUGUUCCUUCCGUUCCCUCUUCUUCUAGGUUUAUGUUCCUUCUGUUCCCUCUUCUUCUCGGAGGUAUACUAUUGAAGGAAAAGAAUUAUAUACUAACGACUUCAAAACUAGUCAUUUGUCAAAACAUAAUACUAAUUCUCUUUUUGUCAACUCAAUUCUAUAUUUCUCCUAUAGAAUUCUCACGGUUCUCGUUAUCUCUAUCGUUCAUCUAUCAUCCUGCAUCUAAUCAUCAAUCUCAAAAUUCUAAAGUGACAUCAAGCUCUCUAGUCAGCAACGUCACCUCUAUAUAAUAGGGAAACUUGCCUCUCUUUUGAGGUCUUACUCAAGCACGAAGGUUCCUUGUUCAUAACGCCCUAUACUAUAAUGAUACUCUCGCUAUGCAAGCAUCAUAGGGACUAAGCGUCAUAUAGGUUCCAUACCAUACUUCUAGCUAUGUACAUCGGCUAUGCAUCCCUAUAUAAAUACACACAUCUUCAGAUAGUCUCGAUCGUCAUCGUCAACCUCCAUAUCCUCACUCGGCUCUCCAUACGGUGAUGAAGGUGGCUCGCCAUAAGUAAAGUAGCGGUGGCUCAAAGUUGCGAUGAAGCCACGGAAAUUGGUGCUCACGAAAUGCUCGAACUCAGUCCUCAGGAUAUGUUGCUGCGCCAGUGAAGCCGCCCAUUCUUACCACUCGGGUGGCAGCUGUGGAAUCUAAGCGUAAUGGCCUCUGCGCCAUCAAUCUCGUAGGGAAAAGCUCUCUUCCAUCGUUGGUGAUAGUAUGCCAGAAGUUCACCAAAGGUGUCAUCCUCGUCCGAGAUAUACUCCCUGAACCAUCGCUACAUCGCUUGUCUCAAAAUAACUCGGCAUCUCAUCCUCGUUUGGUACGGUGGGGCAUCGGCUAUGCUAGCCUCAACAUCUCUCCUCAUCUUCCACACCAACUUCCUCAUAUCAGAAUUCAUUAUCAUCGACAAUUUCGUCAGCAAAACAAUACAUAACUCAUUAGUACAUCAAACUCAGUUCUCAUCAGAAAAGCGAUAAGAAACAACAUCAACUUCUUACCUCGUUAAGCCGGAGGAGAUGGUGUGCUGGGGUUUUGUUUCAACUGACUCUCAAACCAGUCUAAGAACUCAAAUUAGACUAGUACUCAAUCUAAAAAGAGUAGAAGCAAUCAAAGGUUCGACUCAAUCAAGCAAUUAACUCAGAGCAGACAACCUGCUCUGAUACCACUCUGUCGCAGCCCGAUUCCCAAACGCUAGUAAUAGCGGGGUAUGAGUAUCGAUACGACUAAAAUCAAAGAAUAAAGGACAUCACAAUUAAACUGAACAUCAGCGGAAGCUUACAUCAAAACACGCAAAGGCAAAGUCUCAAAACUCGACCCGAGGGUAUAUUCGUCAACAUCGUUCUAACUUCUUGAAUGUUAGGAAUUUCAAGAAGAAAAGCAAAGUAGGUACUGCUCAUUUUCCAUAGGGAAACGUAAAAUCAAGAGUAUCGCUGCAGAAAGGCGUAUCAAUUAUAUGUAUGGAGACAUAUAAUCGCGAGUAUAUUGCUUGAUUUGGAAGGAUUAGUGUAUCAUUUCACUAAGGUUUUAUCAACAUCAAAAGGAAAAUCAAAGUACAUCGUCCUUAAGACUCUAACAUCAAGGAAAACAGCAAGGAAACUUCAUCAACGAAACAGUCCCCACCAGCACCAGUCCAAUCUCGCUCCGGAGCUUAGCCUGCACAUUUAGAAAUAUAUGCAGGGCGUGAGUAAUAAUACUCAGUGGGCAAAUGCCGGAAAAACAUCAAAGGCGCUCUUAGAGCUAUAUGUUUGAAGCUUGCCAUAACAUCAGCAAUACACAGAAAUAAGUUUAUCAUCAAUGAAAUCUGUGCAUGCAGUUUUAAACAUCAUAACAUCAUAAAGAAAUGACUGCAGUCAAAAUAUUCGUCAUGUAUGUACCACGUCUACAACAUUAUCAUUUUUAUCGAUACUGAGAAGUAGGCCUCCCUCUCAAGUACCGUGACUGGCCGACCCGAAGACGGCUCACAGUCACAUCUGUGCACAAAAUCCCGCUUGUGGCAGGACCGAAUUCGUCUCAUCAGUAGAGGGUAACACACAAACUUAUCAUCAAAAUUUUGGCAAGUCAAACAGUUCAUAAACAUCAUUUAUCUCAAAACAUCAAACAUCUUAUAAUCUCAUCAUCAUUUAAAACAGUUUAGAAAAGCUCUUAAACUGUAUACUCAAAAUAAUGCCCACCUGGAGUCCUUCGCUUAAGCUCGGAUAGGAACAGGGGACUUACUUCUUCGUCUUGCUCGGGUCUUCAUAAAUCAUCAACAUCAUCACGAAGGUUCAUGUGAUAAAACAACCUUAGUUAGUACUCAAUACUGAAAUCCAAUCUCGUUUCAUCGAUAACUUCUCACUUCAACGUCUAUUUACUCAGUAAAACUAAAUCCCUAGGCAUACUCGACUUCUAAGGAUUCUCACGUCUUACUCUCGACUUAACUCUCAACUCGGACCAUACUCAAAGCAAAAGCACAUCGGCAUGCACAAUCAUAUAAGCAUGCAACUUCACAUAACAUAUCACAACAAGCACAAGUUGACUCGGAGACCAGAGCAGAUAAAUGCUCGGUGGUCAAGUGGAAAACUCAGCAGAGCGGAGCGCAUUAGCUCAGUAAAACAGCGAAGAGGUGCUCGCCAGGACAGAAGAGUCAACUUGCCUGGCAGCGAAAACAGGAACUCUCUGGCAGAGCAGCGGAGAAAUGCCAGAGGAAUGGCAAACUCUCUGUCGCCAGAGGAAUCAAACGUCAGAGAAAUCGAUCGUACAGAGGAGUCGAUCGUCAGAGGACUCGAACGUCAGAGGACUCAAACGUCAGAGAAAUCAAACAUCAGAGGAAUCAGACGUCAGAGGAAUCAGACGUCAGAGAAAUCAAACAUCAGAGGAAUCACGAACUCUCUGCUAUGCCAGAGGAAUGGCGAACUCUCUGUCGCCAGAGGAAUGGCGAACUCUCUGUCGACAGAGGAAAGAACUCUCUGGCAUUACAGCGGGAAAAUGAAUUCUCUGGCAUGCCAGCGGGAAACGACUUCUCUGGCAUGCCAGCGGGAAAACGACUUCUCUGGCAUGCUGGCGGGGAAACGACUUCUCUGGCAUGCCAGCGGGAUCACAACUUGGCAGAGCAAAACUCAAGGCAGAACAAAGCGAACAAGAGUAACUCUAACUCCAUCGACUUUUCAUACCCAGAAAUCAUCAAACACUCUCAAACCUCAAAAAUACUUAUCACUCUACAUCAUGACUCAAGUCAAAAACUCAUUUAAACACUAAUUCAUCAACACACGUUAAUCUUUCAUAUAUUCAUGCUCAUCGUCAAAACAUCAUUCAAGACAUAACUUACAGAUUUUUCCCUAUUUCUUGUAUCAAACCAAAUUUUGUAAAAACUCAUGCUCAAGACUCAGUUUUGUAAAACAUAUCUUAAUCACUUCAAAUCAUCACGUAUAACAUACAUCUCAUCACAUAUAACUCAUUUCUCACCCCAGUUUUAAAGAAGAAAGAUUUUUAAAAGGGCAUGAACCCUAUUUUUCGAAAAUGAAGAAAAAGGCGGUGGGGAGUUUCUCAUUCUUCAAACAUCUUAAUACUCACAUAAAUCACACGCACAUAACUCACAGAAGUCUGGAUCCAAAAGAUUGAAACACUUACUCAAGAGGUUUCAAGAAAAAUGACGUCUCUUCUCUAUUCUUCAGCUUCAAACUCCACUAAACUUUUUGAAUCAAGAGUAGAAAGUGUUUAGGGACUAGAUUUAGUGGAGGAGUACACCAUAGAUACGUCUUUAAAAGCUUGAGCUUCGUCUCCAAUGGAGAAAAGAAAGAGCGGCGUAAGGGAGAGAGAAGAAGGUGAAGAGCCGAAAAUGAAAGUGACGGCAAGAGAGAGAAACUCUUAGGCUUUAAACAAGAUUCUUAUUCCUUAAGAUAAGAAGCAUUAAAUGCUUGAAUAGUAAUUUGUCUCCCCCUUAGCAGCAAGUCUCAUCCGCCGGUUAUCCCAUGUGGGAAAAGAGAUUAAAAUAAUGGUGGUGAGUGUAGGAAUGUGUGCGGUGGUAAUUCUAAUCAUAUGUGCUAAUUUUCGAAAAUCAUACUGACUCAAAAAUAUAAGUGCGCACGUAUCAUAUAAAUCACAUAACGUCAAACAAAUAACUUACAAAGUUAUCUAAAAAAAACGGAUCAUCACUCGUCAUUACUCUAAUCGUCACUCUAGAUUAAUCCUCUUUAGCGACUCUCAAUCACUUCCUCGACUCUAUUUGUCGUCUCUCAUCUCAACUCUAAAUCAAUUAUCAUCUCCAUCUUAUCUCUCACAUCGUUCUCAAUUCUAUCAACUUCUCUAACUCAACUCGUUUCUCAAAUCUCAUCACUCUAACUCCAUCAGUGGUUCGUCUACUCAUAACUCUAUUUAAAAGAAAAUCUGUCUUAUCUGGUCAUAAAACAAAAUAAUCUCGCAUCUCAACAUCUCAGUAUCCUCAGUAGUGUUAAAACACUAUCUCUCAACAUAAGGGCAAAG
RNAcentral lists this long non-coding RNA (37939 nucleotides) under Salvia miltiorrhiza (redroot sage). RNAcentral's name for it is "long non-coding RNA (SMIL_LNC000638)". Lineage: Eukaryota; Viridiplantae; Streptophyta; Magnoliopsida; Lamiales; Lamiaceae. The record is from RNAcentral.